RNAcentral lists this long non-coding RNA (931 nucleotides) under Mus musculus (house mouse). RNAcentral's name for it is "long non-coding RNA chr15:7489887-7490818". The record is from RNAcentral. Lineage: Eukaryota; Metazoa; Chordata; Mammalia; Rodentia; Muridae.
AAGCUUUGUGUUGUUUUGCUGAGGCUUGUGCGCAUCUUGUUCUAGAUGGCAUACAUGAAGGGCUUGCUUGAAGACCGACGACAAGAAACUGGAAUAACUCAGCCUUUUUCUGACAUCAAAGGGCAAUACGGAUCCGAUCAAUGAGACUGGAGCAUCUCCAGGAUGUCAGCAGGCUGGAGCUGAAGCUUCUCCAGAUGGAAUCAAAUCCAAGGAGUUGGCAUUGGGAAGACACCUUCAGCCUAAGUCUCUUCCUGUAAUGGAAUUCUUCCACCUAUAUGAUAAAACACUGGAUUUCGUCGUAACACGUAUAAGUGAUAAAACACUUGUAAAAUCUGGAUAUCGUUUCAUGGUAGUCAUGAAAUGUCACAAGGAUAUUUAGUGGACCCAGCUCCUGAGUGCUUCACCUCAAAAGAUUUCUAAGUAAAUCAUCACUAUGCCAGCUGAUCCUGAUAACAAACGUCUGAGGCCCCAGCAGUCUCACUUUAUGGAAGGUACGCUUCCUGGGCUCCAACCAAAGUGGCUUAUUCAUUGUUACUGGGCCAUGCUUGUGACUUCAGGGAACAUUGUGAACAAAGCCCAGAAGAGAUGUGAAGACAUGCUGUAGACUAGACUAUCAGUAAAGCAGUUUAUCUGAGGGACACGAGAGAGUCCAUUUCUCCAGGCAAAUGAUGGGUGAGCUUCUAUCAUCUGUACAUGUGCUUUGCCUCUAAGAAGCUCCUUAGAUCUAGUAAGGUGUGUGUUCUCCUCCAGUUUUAUUGCCCAUGAACCUUAACUUAAAGCCCACGUGAAGACUAUUUCUUGAUGAGUGGGGGAUAUGGCCGGGUGGUAGAGCACUAGCUAAGCAUGUCUAAGACCCUGAGUUUGAACCCCAGGACCAGGAAAAAAAUAUUUUUAAAAUUAAGUAAGUAAUAAAUAUUUAGUCUGGGCCCAC